Molecule: ribosomal RNA, 301 nt
Filed under: uncultured bacterium
Lineage: Bacteria
Description: partial 16S ribosomal RNA
Rfam family: Bacterial small subunit ribosomal RNA
Source: RNAcentral
CAGCAGCCACGGUAACACGUAGGUGGCAAGCGUUGUCCGGAAUUAUUGGGCGUAAAGGGCUCGCAGGCGGUUUCUUAAGUCUGAUGUGAAAGCCCCCGGCUCAACCGGGGAGGGUCAUUGGAAACUGGGAAACUUGAGUGCAGAAGAGGAGAGUGGAAUUCCACGUGUAGCGGUGAAAUGCGUAGAGAUGUGGAGGAACACCAGUGGCGAAGGCGACUCUCUGGUCUGUAACUGACGCUGAGGAGCGAAAGCGUGGGGAGCGAACAGGAUUAGAUACCCCAGUAGUCCCUGUCUCUUAUAC